CACGUGGGUAACCUGCCCAAGAGACUGGGAUAACACCUGGAAACAGAUGCUAAUACCGGAUAACAACACUAGACGCAUGUCUAGAGUUUAAAAGAUGGUUCUGCUAUCACUCUUGGAUGGACCUGCGGUGCAUUAGCUAGUUGGUAAGGUAACGGCUUACCAAGGCAAUGAUGCAUAGCCGAGUUGAGAGACUGAUCGGCCACAUUGGGACUGAGACACGGCCCAAACUCCUACGGGAGGCAGCAG
Molecule: ribosomal RNA, 246 nt
Filed under: uncultured bacterium
Lineage: Bacteria
Description: partial 16S ribosomal RNA
Rfam family: Bacterial small subunit ribosomal RNA
Source: RNAcentral